Molecule: ribosomal RNA, 400 nt
Filed under: uncultured bacterium
Lineage: Bacteria
Description: bacterial SSU rRNA
Rfam family: Bacterial small subunit ribosomal RNA
Source: RNAcentral
GGGGAAUAUUGCACAAUGGAGGGAACUCUGAUGCAGCAACGCCGCGUGAAUGAUGAAGGCCUUCGGGUCGUAAAGUUCUUUGAUUGGGGACGAUAAUGACGGUACCCAAAAAACAAGCCACGGCUAACUACGUGCCAGCAGCCGCGGUAAUACGUAGGUGGCGAGCGUUGUCCGGAUUUACUGGGCGUAAAGGAUGCGUAGGUGGAAAUUUAAGUGGGGUGUGAAAUCCCCGGGCUCAACCCGGGAACUGCAUUCCAAACUGGAUUUCUUGAGUACAGGAGAGGAAAGCGGAAUUCCUAGUGUAGCGGUGAAAUGCGUAGAUAUUAGGAGGAACACCAGUGGCGAAGGCGGCUUUCUGGACUGUAACUGACACUGAGGCAUGAAAGCGUGGGUAGCAAAC